This is a long non-coding RNA of Andrographis paniculata, 5513 nucleotides long. RefSeq lists it as uncharacterized. The record is from RefSeq and is a predicted model, not a curated record. NCBI's taxonomy places the organism in Eukaryota, Viridiplantae, Streptophyta, Magnoliopsida, Lamiales, Acanthaceae. The transcript is spliced from 3 exons.
UGCGGGUUCUUUCUGCGCCUCGCCAUCCUCGUUUGGGGAUGUGUUAAUUUUAAUUUUGUGAUUUUGGAGGUGGUUUUGGUUACUAGCUGGAAGAUUUAUGUUCGCCUGCGUCGUGCUGUUUGUCUUUUUGAUUGUGGUGUUUGAUGUUUGCUGGGAGGGGGUGUAUAUGCUGGUUCAUGAUUAUGAAUGGAAUGGCUUACCCGCCCAUUGCUCGCAUUUUGUUUAAUUUGAAGUGUUUUUCCUUUUUGUUUUGCUUUCCUUAUUCUGCUAUGUGAAGUUGUUCUGCUGGGAAGGAAUUAUGGUGGCGAAUGAUGAUAUAAGUCUUGUCCUACACACUGAUUAUCUGUGUUGACAACAAACUCCGCUUAUUAUCUGAUGCCAUUGUAAGAUCUGUACGCAUUACUAUUCCAUUUCAUUCGUGUUCUGUCGUGUUUAGCGAAUUUUUUUUUUGGUAUAUUUGUCUUUUUGGGCUGAGGUUCAGCUUAUUGCAAUUUUUUUCCUUCUUAUGUGUUUCGGGUUUGGGGAUAAGAUUUUAAGGCGGUAAUAUUUGAGUUUUUCCGGCUUGAAAGUUGUAAACAAUUCGAUGAUGAUAGAAAGCAGACGGGCGGACUGAAUCUGAUGCCGUGUUGAUUGUCUGCCCAUGUUCCUGCUUAGGAAUAUUCCUGAGAUCCUUGGCUGAAUGUAGCUUGAAGCCUGCCAAGAAUUUUGAAAGAAAUUUGGUUAGUUAUUUGAUUCUCAUCAAUCCAGUUUUAGUGGUUUUAUGCUGACAGGCCGUAAUUUGAUAGUUACAGAUCGGAAAAAAAAAGGAAACAAAUGCUUGGCACAUUGCCCGGUGUUAGAAAUUUUUCUCAACAUUGAGGGCAAAUCUAAGAUUGUCAUAUUUUCAGUUUCAGGACAGGUUUGAUGAUAUGCAAUUGAAGACAUUUAAUUAACAUUUCCAACGAAAUGUUCUUUAACGUGAAAUAUGUUUUAUAGAGAAUUGUUUUAUAUUCUUUUGUCAUAAUGGAACUGCAUUGGAUUGAUCAUAUAUUAUUUUGGAGCAGCAGAGUCUUCAGGUGACUGCAAGAGAAGGAAACAAAUAAUACUCACAAAGGACCUAAAAUUACAAUUGGCCAAAAUGUUCAAGAAGUAGAUUGCCUUGUCCAACAGAUCAUCCAUGCGAAUUGCCAUGCAUAUCUAGAUAAGUGAUCGUGUUAGGAGUUGGAUGUUUGCUGUAAAGAAGUUGCACUUUUGCAGUUUGUCUGGAGAAUUGAUUAUGUCCCCAUGAAUCGAGCUUAAUUUGUUUGUUUCUUCCAUGCAAUUUAUGAAUUUGUGUAUCAGUGUUUUUUUUUUCCAUGUUAAGACAGUUUUGCAGAUGGCAUGUAGUCCAAAUGAAUGACAUUUUGUGUCUUGCAUUCUCAUUUGUUGCCUCAGAAAUCACAAUACAAAUAGAAUGGUUGCUGUACUUUUGAAAAUCUUUGAAAAACCAUGUUUGAUUCAAGACAAGCACUCAAAAUCCAGUUUUUCGAUAUCUCUUAAACUGAAACAGUUAGAAGUAACAGAUCGUUGGUGAUCUCAUCGAGCAGGCCAUUGAGCAUAUGUCUCUCUAUAUCUCUUAUAAUGUCAUCCUUCUCAGGGAAUAUAAGCAUCAUUUUGCUCCACUCGAGAUCCCACAUGCAGUUGAUGUCUGGACUUGUAUCAUAGAUGUCGUUGCCGAGCAUUUUAAUUAGGCUGGCUGCAACAUCGCAUUCAUCACCACCAUUCUGGCUGUAGAACUUAAGAAUUUCCAGGUCUUUGCACAACAACCUGACCAAGUCGUCGAGGGACCUUAAUUUGGUAUAACUUAAAUCAUUCCUUUGGUAGGGAUGAAAUGUGAUUUCCUGUCUCCUUGCUUUUCUUUUCAUCACUUCAUAUGCAGAGUCUAGCAGCAGCUUCUUUUUUGCAACCUCAUCGUCAUGGUCACCGAUGUGGAGAAAGCUCACAGGGAUGUUGAGCUUGAAUAGGGCUUCGGCUGUACUAAGGAACAACUGACUUUUUAUCAGUAUCUCCUUCAGGUCCUUCUCAGGUUCUGUGAGCUGCUCUUGUCUUGCCCAUGCAGGAAGUUGUUGGUAUGGUUCUGUACCUUCAUCAUUACCUGCAAGAUUUAAAAGGUAUGCAUUAAGUUAGAUCAGGUUUUCUUCCAUACCUGUGGUCUCAAAUGAAAUAACAAGAUGUAGAGUAUGCCAAUAUGCUUUAUAUCAAAUGCAAGAAUGGGAAAUUUUAUGCGAGAUGCAGGCCCUAGUAAGUGAGCAAACCAACGUAAUUGUUUAUAAUGGAUAGAUAAACACCUUUUGGUUGACAUAAUUUGAGUUCUUGUGGAUCCUCAGGACCAUAAGAUUGUUCUGCUGACUUGACAGCAUCAGUAGCUUCUCCAGAGUUUAAGCUUGCAGCGUCACACUGGAAAUGUCGGUAAAGAUAUGCGAAUGACUGUUGGAUAUGAUUUUCUGGUGAGCUUCGGUUUGGCACUUCUGCUGGUUCGGUCGAUGGGCCUUCAUGUCUGAUGCAUCACUCAUAGGCAUUUGUUCUUUUCUUCCGUUGACCUUACCAUUACUUUGAUCAUCCAUUCUUUUUGAGCUGCGAUUCUUGGAUUCCAUCUGCUGUUUCAAAUCUUUCAGUAUAUUACCUGGCUGCUUUCUUGUUCUUGCUAAUUGAUUCACAGUUGCAUUUCUUUUGGUCAUCAUCACAUCUAUCUUCUGAGGAAUUUCACCUUUCUGAACUUCUUCCGGAAUGAUCAUCUGUGUUGCUGAAACCUCAAUUGGCUUCUCCUUUGAGAGCAUGGCCUUACUGUGUUCCUUGUUUUCGUCAAUAUGAGAUCCUCUUGGCGAUGAAUCUAUAGUUCGGUCCUCCUUUCUGAAAUUUUCCUGGGUAGAUGCUGUUUCUCGGGACCUGUCAUUCGUUGGAGCAACAUCUUGAUAUCUUUUGUUUAGUGGACUUCUUAUGGAAACCUUUUCGGUGGGUUUCACUGACUUCUCAUAACUCAAUGCAGGUUUGUGCUGUGAUAGCUUCUUCAAAACUGUGGCUGUACUUCUCUUUGAUUUUGAAGCCACCUUCUCCACUUGGUGGCCAUCUUGUUUCUUGGCAAUCACAUUCUGUUUCUGUAGCUGUUGUGCUCUUUGCUCUGCCUUCCACUUCUCUUCUGAAUGUUCGAUUCUUUUAGGCUCGUGAUCUUGAAUUACCAAACUCACAUCCUGCAGGGGUUUUUCCUGUUUGCUUGGUACAUUGUCUGAGCUUCUCUUUUCCAUUGAACUGGUACGGAUCUUGUGCUCCAACCUAUGUUGUGUUUUUUCUUCAGCUCUAACUGUUCUACCACUUCGCAGCGAUUGCUGUAUUUCAGUGUUCAAAACUGGCUUACUGGAUUCCCUUUCAAUGGCUGUACUUUCUUUAUCUUUUAUGUGAUUCUGUUUCCUCCCACUCUCUUCAAAACUUUCGUGCCUCUGCUUUUUGUUCAUAACAGACUCCGCCAUUGAUGUGUCUGAAUAUUUCUGCACUUUGCUUCUCUCAUAGACAGUGUUGUUUGCAGAGGACUUUCUGUCGAUGCUCAAGUGCUCGGGCAACUUAUGAUUUCUUUGAGAAACUUUCUCUUGCUUCCCUUCCUUUCCUUUCGAGUCAUUUUUCAUGGCUUUGGAGCCUUCCCUCUGAGGGAGUUCUUCAAGCCCCAUUAGUUUAGCUAUGACAUUUGAAAUCCUCCCUUUCUCCUUUGUGGGCUGUGGUGAAGUCAUUUCUUGGACAUAGCUUGUCGACCUCCGGUGGACAAUCAGUUUUGAGCUGUUGGUGUCUGAAGUUACAUGUGAAUUUCUAGAAGGUUUGUCAAAGGAGAAUCUGGGCCUGUCUAGUUUCCACUGAUCAGCAACCUUACCCCCGUCGUCUUGUUCAUCCUCAUCCUCAUCCUCAUCGAUUAGCUUUAUACGGCUUUUGCUCUGACUGGCAUUCAUGUGCUUUGAGCUUUCUUGCAGGCUCACUAGCAUCCUUAAAGACUCCUCCAAGUCGACUGCGCCUUUCAACAGCUCCUUCCCUACUUCAAUUGAGUGUCGAUCAAAGUUAAAGCCAUUGGAGCAAGCUCUUAGAAUCUGGUUCAGCUUCUGCACUCCUUUGGAGAUUUCGCCAAUCUGAAUAUUGGAGACAUUAGGAUACUGGUCUAUCGAGAGGCCAUGGACAGUUAAGUUGGCAAUGUCCAUUUUCUGGCUGCCCGUAGAUCUCCGACCAAACCGGUUGAAAAAAUUCACCAGUGGAUUGUUACUCGAAGCCCCGACUUUACUGAGGCUCCCGCUGUUCUCAAAGGCAAAAGCUAUGGCCAUUGUCAGAUCCUUGACUUGUCUGCAACUUUGGCCGCUUUCGUACAGCACAAUCUGGUUUGAUGCUUCAUUGAUAUUGAUUGCCCGGCUACUUCCGCUCGACCUUCUUCCUGUGUUGUUCCCUGUUCUUAAACCAACCUGCGCAAGGGUAAUCGUCGCUACUCAUUUAGAUUAAUCUAUUCCUUAGUGCAAAAUUAUUUCUACCCUAACAUAUUCAGGUAGCUGUUGAAUCAACACUCACGGAUUCUAGCGUGUUUAUUUGUCGGGAACCCCUUGAAGUUCGCCCGGAGUUUCCCUGCACAACUGUUGGAUCAUAGAAAUAACUAUGCAUAUGAAUCAAUACUGGUCAGGAAGAUAAACAUUUAACGAAUGUUACCUCUACGGUAUCUAUUCUUAUAUUUUUAUCUUUUAAAGUAAUGGAAUUCGACAUUUAACUUGGUGGUAAGAACAGAACAUUUAUCUCAACACGAAACUGAUAGCAUGCUGUAGUAACAUCUCUCGACUUGAUCUAAAUCUCUAUGUGCAUGAAGGAUAUUGCAGAAGCUUUACCUCUGGAUGUAUGGCCGGAUUGGCGGCUGGAGCAUUCAGCGCCAGCCAUCCUCUCCUUGCGCAGGCGGAGAUCGUGGAGGAGCUUCUGGGCAAAAUCCGAUUUAGCCGCCAUGGUACGCUUCCUCUUUCCCCGAUAACUCACUCAACUAGAAACUGCUGAAACUAACAGAUAGAUAUGGGGAAUGAACAAUAGAAGAGAAAAUAGAAUUGGAGCCAUUGAUUUGCAGUUGAGAUUAUAGAAUACAUACACAUUCACUUUGGUGGGGAGGUUCUUUCAGUGUUUGGUAUGAUGGAAUGUGGGGAAAAGGGCAUGGGAAUUAAGAUGGAAUAUUUUAGUUUACUUAGAGCAAGGUUAAUGUAGAGAGAGAGAGAGAUGAGACAGAAGCUUGGUUGCUUUUAUUCCACUCCAAGCAAUGCCGCCAUUGCAGUGCCAGCCACACCUUGCUCUGUUCUCUCUUCUUCUCCAAACUUUUCUUCUCAGCUAAUCUACUAUAUGCGUCUGUUACUAUCUGUAUAUAUAUUUAUUUAUUUAUGUUUGAAAUAUGUAUGAAUUUUUAUUAGUUUACUUUUUAGGUAGAAAGUAAUUUUAAUAGGUGGAAAGUAAUUUUAAAGAGCCUCCCUCAUCUUAGAGAUAAAAGUAGAAACAAUUUGAUA